AAGGCUUCAUUCAUUCUCCUAAUGUUUAUGACAGUCACCCUGCCAAUCUCUACCCCAGUGAUGACCCACAACAAGUAGGCAAAUAGAUGUUUUGUGCCUUUAAGGGAUCAAGCCUCUGUUGCUACUACAAAGGUUGCUGCCAUAGCUAUGUGUUUGGAAUAUUCCUCUUGCUGUUGCUAGGCAGACUGUGCUUCUGUUAAACUGAUCGUUCCUAUACUCUCACUUGAUGAUUCCUAAAGAACCUCCAUCUUCACUUCUGGUCCUUCUUGCCUUACCAGCUCCCAAUUUCCAGUGCUGAGGGACACACCCAGCAGGUGGUAUGCAAGUCCUGCCUUGAAGCAAAGACGCCUCUUAACUCUGAAAACCAGUUUGGCAAGAAUGGAUCUGCUAGCAAGCAGACAGAAAUUUCCAACUGAAGACCUACUUCCCCUAUAAGAAUUCUCAAGGCUCUACUUUUCUCACCACAACAGAAGUCUGCCCUUACCCUGGUAGGAAGCCAAGUAGAGUGCUAUGAGCAGCACCCAGCAUUUCCAGAAGCCCUCCAUGGCCUUGGCGUUAAGGAAUCCUUCAGUGGUGGGAAGGA
Molecule: long non-coding RNA, 583 nt
Organism: Hemicordylus capensis (graceful crag lizard)
Lineage: Eukaryota; Metazoa; Chordata; Lepidosauria; Squamata; Cordylidae
Exons: 3
Source: RefSeq, a predicted model, not a curated record